GUUGUGCCCUUGAGGCGUGGCUUCCGGAGCUAACGCGUUAAAUCGACCGCCUGGGGAGUACGGCCGCAAGGUUAAAACUCAAAUGAAUUGACGGGGGCCCGCACAAGCGGUGGAGCAUGUGGUUUAAUUCGAUGCAACGCGAAGAACCUUACCUACUCUUGACAUCCAGAGAAUUAGCUAGAGAUAGCUGAGUGCCUUCGGGAACUCUGAGACAGGUGCUGCAUGGCUGUCGUCAGCUCGUGUUGUGAAAUGUUGGGUUAAGUCCCGCAACGAGCGCAACCCUUAUCCUUUGUUGCCAGCGAUUCGGUCGGGAACUCAAAGGAGACUGCCGGUGAUAAACCGGAGGAAGGUGGGGAUGACGUCAAGUCAUCAUGGCCCUUACGAGUAGGGCUACACACGUGCUACAAUGGCGUAUACAAAGAGAAGCGACCUCGCGAGAGCAAGCGGACCUCAUAAAGUACGUCGUAGUCCGGAUUGGAGUCUGCAACUCGACUCCAUGAAGUCGGAAUCGCUAGUAAUCGUAGAUCAGAAUGCUACGGUGAAUACGUUCCCGGGCCUUGUACACACCGCCCGUCACACCAUGGGAGUGGGUUGCAAAAGAAGUAGGUAGCUUAACCUUCGGGAGGGCGCUUACCACUUUGUGAUUCAUGACUGGGGUGAAGUCGUAACAAGGUAACCGUAGGGGAACCUGCGGUUGGAUCACCUCCUUACCAAGAAG
RNAcentral lists this ribosomal RNA (718 nucleotides) under Pectobacterium odoriferum. Its description in RNAcentral is "bacterial SSU rRNA". It matches the Rfam family "Bacterial small subunit ribosomal RNA", at positions 823 to 1533 of the family's 1533-position model. Lineage: Bacteria; Pseudomonadati; Pseudomonadota; Gammaproteobacteria; Enterobacterales; Pectobacteriaceae. The record is from RNAcentral.